RNAcentral lists this ribosomal RNA (154 nucleotides) under uncultured bacterium. RNAcentral describes it as "partial 16S ribosomal RNA". It matches the Rfam family "Bacterial small subunit ribosomal RNA", at positions 355 to 507 of the family's 1533-position model. The record is from RNAcentral.
UAGGGAAUAUUGGGCAAUGGACGGAAGUCUGACCCAGCCAUGCCGCGUGCAGGAUGAAGGCGUUAUGCGUUGUAAACUGCUUUUUUAUAGGAAGAAGACUCCCUUGCGAGGGAAAGUGACGGUACUAUAAGAAUAAGCACCGGCUAACUCCGUG